GCUCUUCAUCCUUGGAUCUUGAUCUCUUCUUCCAAAUCUUGAAGAAGAAGAUCACUGCGCGAACUCUUUCGCGCAGAUCCGACAGAAUUUGAAUCAAAUCACCAUGAAGAGAAGAAAAACCCUUCUUAUUCUCUUCUUCUCUCUCUUUUUCUCUCUUAGAUCUGAUCUCUAUCAGAUCUGGGCAUGAACAUGAAUUGGAGAAGACAAGAGGAGGCAUCAAGAUGAAAGAUAGAUGUAAGAAAAAAAAGUCAUCUCAUUUUUUUCACAUGCC
Molecule: long non-coding RNA, 271 nt
Filed under: Elaeis guineensis (African oil palm)
Lineage: Eukaryota; Viridiplantae; Streptophyta; Magnoliopsida; Arecales; Arecaceae
Description: long non-coding RNA (EGUI_LNC036585)
Source: RNAcentral